This 250-nucleotide ribosomal RNA is filed under the name uncultured bacterium. RNAcentral's name for it is "partial 16S ribosomal RNA". It matches the Rfam family "Bacterial small subunit ribosomal RNA", at positions 524 to 773 of the family's 1533-position model. The record is from RNAcentral.
UACGGAGGAUCCUAGCGUUAUCCGGAUUUAUUGGGUUUAAAGGGUGCGUAGGCGGAAUAGUAAGUCAGUGGUGAAAGCCUACAGCUUAACUGUAGAACUGCCAUUGAUACUGCUAAUCUUGAGUACAUUUGAAGUGGGCGGAAUGUGUCGUGUAGCGGUGAAAUGCUUAGAUAUGACACAGAACACCGAUUGCGAAGGCAGCUCACUAAACUGUAACUGACGCUGAGGCACGAAAGCGUGGGGAUCAAAC